GAUGAACGCUGGCGGCGUGCCUAAUACAUGCAAGUCGAGCGAACAGAUGAGGAGCUUGCUCCUCUGACGUUAGCGGCGGACGGGUGAGUAACACGUGGAUAACCUACCUAUAAGACUGGGAUAACUUCGGGAAACCGGAGCUAAUACCGGAUAAUAUAUUGAACCGCAUGGUUCAAUAGUGAAAGACGGUUUUGCUGUCACUUAUAGAUGGAUCCGCGCCGCAUUAGCUAGUUGGUAAGGUAACGGCUUACCAAGGCAACGAUGCGUAGCCGACCUGAGAGGGUGAUCGGCCACACGGGAACUGAGACACGGUCCAGACUCCUACGGGAGGCAGCAGUAGGGAAUCUUCCGCAAUGGGCGAAAGCCUGACGGAGCAACGCCGCGUGAGUGAUGAAGGUCUUCGGAUCGUAAAACUCCGUUAUUGGGGAAGAACAAAUGUGUAAGUAACUAUGCACGUCUUGACGGUACCUAAUCAGAAAGCCACGGCUAACUACGUG
Molecule: ribosomal RNA, 497 nt
Filed under: uncultured bacterium
Lineage: Bacteria
Description: partial 16S ribosomal RNA
Rfam family: Bacterial small subunit ribosomal RNA
Source: RNAcentral